UAAGUUUGGGAUAACCUGUCGAAAGAUGAGCUAAUACUGAAUAAGACCACAGUUUCCUCGGAAGCAGGGGUCAAAGGUAGCCUCUAUUUAUAAGCUAUCACUUAGAGAUGGGCCUGCGUACCAUUAGCUAGUUGGUGAGGUAACGGCUCACCAAGGCAAAGAUGGUUAGCUGGUCUGAGAGGACGAUCAGUCACACUGGAACUGAGACACGGUCCAG
RNAcentral lists this ribosomal RNA (217 nucleotides) under uncultured bacterium. RNAcentral's name for it is "partial 16S ribosomal RNA". It matches the Rfam family "Bacterial small subunit ribosomal RNA", at positions 133 to 334 of the family's 1533-position model. The record is from RNAcentral.